UCCUCCUUAGCUCAGCGGUGGAGCACUCGGCUGUUAACCGAUAGGUCGUUGGUUCGAAUCCAACAGGGGGAGCCA
This 75-nucleotide transfer RNA is filed under the name Thermoproteota archaeon. RNAcentral's name for it is "Crenarchaeota archaeon (anaerobic digester metagenome) tRNA-Asn". It matches the Rfam family "tRNA". Rfam says of the family: Transfer RNA (tRNA) molecules are approximately 80 nucleotides in length. Their secondary structure includes four short double-helical elements and three loops (D, anti-codon, and T loops). Lineage: Archaea; Thermoproteati; Thermoproteota. The record is from RNAcentral.